RNAcentral lists this transfer RNA (67 nucleotides) under Myrmeleon immaculatus. RNAcentral describes it as "tRNA-Ser". It matches the Rfam family "tRNA". Rfam says of the family: Transfer RNA (tRNA) molecules are approximately 80 nucleotides in length. The record is from RNAcentral. Lineage: Eukaryota; Metazoa; Arthropoda; Insecta; Neuroptera; Myrmeleontidae.
AAUUAAUGAGCUUGAUAAAGCAUAUGCUUUGAAAGCAUAAGACAAUAGUAUAUUCUAUUAUUAAUUU